UAGGGAAUCUUCGGCAAUGGACGGAAGUCUGACCGAGCAACGCCGCGUGAGUGAAGAAGGUUUUCGGAUCGUAAAGCUCUGUUGUAAGAGAAGAACGAGUGUGAGAGUGGAAAGUUCACACUGUGACGGUAUCUUACCAGAAAGGGACGGCUAACUACGUGCCAGCAGCCGCGGUAAUACGUAGGUCCCGAGCGUUGUCCGGAUUUAUUGGGCGUAAAGCGAGCGCAGGCGGUUAGAUAAGUCUGAAGUUAAAGGCUGUGGCUUAACCAUAGUACGCUUUGGAAACUGUUUAACUUGAGUGCAAGAGGGGGGAGUGGAAUUCCAUGUGUAGCGGUGAAAUGCGUAGAUAUAUGGAGGAACACCGGUGGCGAAAGCGGCUCUCUGGCUUGUAACUGACGCUGAGGCUCGAAAGCGUGGGGAGCAAACAGGAUUAGAUACCCUGGUAGUCCACGCCGUAAACGAUGAGUGCUAGGUGUUAGACCCUUUCCGGGGUUUAGUGCCGCAGCUAACGCAUUAAGCACUCCGCCUGGGGAGUACGACCGCNGGUU
RNAcentral lists this ribosomal RNA (548 nucleotides) under uncultured bacterium. RNAcentral describes it as "bacterial SSU rRNA". It matches the Rfam family "Bacterial small subunit ribosomal RNA", at positions 355 to 895 of the family's 1533-position model. The record is from RNAcentral.